ACUUUGAUUAUGGCUCGGGAUGAACGCUAGCGGCAGGCUUAACACAUGCAAGUCGAGGGGUAACAUUGGUGCUUGCAUCAGAUGACGACCGGCGCACGGGUGAGUAACGCGUAUGUAACCUACCUAUCACAGGGGGAUAGCCCGGAGAAAUUCGGAUUAAUACCGCAUAGUUUUGAGAUAUUGCAUGAUAUUUCAAAUAAAACUUUGGUGGUGAUAGAUGGACAUGCGUAUGAUUAGUUAGUUGGUGAGGUAACGGCUCACCAAGGCGACGAUCAUUAGGGGUUCUGAGAGGAAGGUCCCCCACACUGGUACUGAGACACGGACCAGACUCCUACGGGAGGCAGCAGUGAGGAAUAUUGGUCAAUGGACGAAAGUCUGAACCAGCCAUGCCGCGUGCAGGAUGACUGCCCUAUGGGUUGUAAACUGCUUUUCUGAAGGAAGAAAUGUACCUACGUGUAGGUAUUUGCCGGUACUUCAGGAAUAAGGAUCGGCUAACUCCGUGCCAGCAGCCGCGGUA
Molecule: ribosomal RNA, 517 nt
Filed under: uncultured bacterium
Lineage: Bacteria
Description: bacterial SSU rRNA
Rfam family: Bacterial small subunit ribosomal RNA
Source: RNAcentral